GUGCCAGCAGCCGCGGUAAUACAGAGGUCUCAAGCGUUGUUCGGAUUCAUUGGGCGUAAAGGGUGCGUAGGCGGUGAGGUAAGUCUGGUGUGAAAUCCCGGAGCUCAACUCCGGAACUGCACUGGAUACUGCCUUACUUGAGCACUGGAGAGGGAACUGGAAUUUACGGUGUAGCAGUGAAAUGCGUAGAUAUCGUAAGGAAGACCAGUGGCGAAGGCGAGUUCCUGGACAGUUGCUGACGCUGAGGCACGAAGGCCAGGGGAGCAAACGGGAUUAGAAACCCUCGUAGUCC
RNAcentral lists this ribosomal RNA (292 nucleotides) under uncultured bacterium. RNAcentral's name for it is "partial 16S ribosomal RNA". It matches the Rfam family "Bacterial small subunit ribosomal RNA", at positions 505 to 796 of the family's 1533-position model. The record is from RNAcentral.